AUACGGAGGAUGCGAGCGUUAUCCGGAUUUAUUGGGUUUAAAGGGUGCGUAGGCUGUGCGUUAAGUCAGGGGUGAAAUGCCGUCGCUCAACGACGGAGCUGCCCUUGAUACUGGCGUGCUGGAGUACGGAUGCCGUUGGAGGAAUGAGUGAUGUAGCGGUGAAAUGCUUAGAUAUCACUCAGAACACCGAUUGCGAAGGCUUCUGACGAAUCCGUCAAUGACGGUGAGGCACGAAAGCGUGGUGAUAGAGCAGGAUUAGAUACCCUGGUAUGCCACGCCGUAAACGAUGAUGACUAACCGUCGGCGAUAGACAGCCGGUGGCCAAGCGAAAGCGAUAAGUCAUCCACCUGGGGAGUACGUCGGCGACGAUGAAACUCAAAUGAAUUGACGGGG
Molecule: ribosomal RNA, 393 nt
Filed under: uncultured bacterium
Lineage: Bacteria
Description: partial 16S ribosomal RNA
Rfam family: Bacterial small subunit ribosomal RNA
Source: RNAcentral